This 1426-nucleotide ribosomal RNA is filed under the name uncultured organism. Its description in RNAcentral is "16S ribosomal RNA". It matches the Rfam family "Bacterial small subunit ribosomal RNA". The record is from RNAcentral.
CAGGCUUAACACAUGCAAGUCGAGGGGCAGCAUGGUCUUAGCUUGCUAAGGCCGAUGGCGACCGGCGCACGGGUGAGUAACACGUAUCCAACCUGCCGUCUACUCUUGGACAGCCUUCUGAAAGGAAGAUUAAUACAAGAUGGCAUCAUGAGUCCGCAUGUUCACAUGAUUAAAGGUAUUCCGGUAGACGAUGGGGAUGCGUUCCAUUAGAUAGUAGGCGGGGUAACGGCCCACCUAGUCUUCGAUGGAUAGGGGUUCUGAGAGGAAGGUCCCCCACAUUGGAACUGAGACACGGUCCAAACUCCUACGGGAGGCAGCAGUGAGGAAUAUCGGUCAAUGGGCGAGAGCCUGAACCAGCCAAGUAGCGUGAAGGAUGACUGCCCUAUGGGUUGUAAACUUCUUUUAUAAAGGAAUAAAGUCGGGUAUGGAUACCCGUUUGCAUGUACUUUAUGAAUAAGGAUCGGCUAACUCCGUGCCAGCAGCCGCGGUAAUACGGAGGAUCCGAGCGUUAUCCGGAUUUAUUGGGUUUAAAGGGAGCGUAGAUGGAUGUUUAAGUCAGUUGUGAAAGUUUGCGGCUCAACCGUAAAAUUGCAGUUGAUACUGGAUAUCUUGAGUGCAGUUGAGGCAGGCGGAAUUCGUGGUGUAGCGGUGAAAUGCUUAGAUAUCACGAAGAACUCCGAUUGCGAAGGCAGCCUGCUAAGCUGCAACUGACAUUGAGGCUCGAAAGUGUGGGUAUCAAACAGGAUUAGAUACCCUGGUAGUCCACACGGUAAACGAUGAAUACUCGCUGUUUGCGAUAUACUGCAAGCGGCCAAGCGAAAGCGUUAAGUAUUCCACCUGGGGAGUACGCCGGCAACGGUGAAACUCAAAGGAAUUGACGGGGGCCCGCACAAGCGGAGGAACAUGUGGUUUAAUUCGAUGAUACGCGAGGAACCUUACCCGGGCUUAAAUUGCAGAUGAAUUACGGUGAAAGCCGUAAGCCGCAAGGCAUCUGUGAAGGUGCUGCAUGGUUGUCGUCAGCUCGUGCCGUGAGGUGUCGGCUUAAGUGCCAUAACGAGCGCAACCCUUGUUGUCAGUUACUAACAGGUUCCGCUGAGGACUCUGACAAGACUGCCAUCGUAAGAUGUGAGGAAGGUGGGGAUGACGUCAAAUCAGCACGGCCCUUACGUCCGGGGCUACACACGUGUUACAAUGGGGGGUACAGAGGGCCGCUACCACGCGAGUGGAUGCCAAUCCCCAAAACCUCUCUCAGUUCGGACUGGAGUCUGCAACCCGACUCCACGAAGCUGGAUUCGCUAGUAACCGCGCAUCAGCCACGGCGCGGUGAAUACGUUCCCGGGCCUUGUACACACCGCCCGUCAAGCCAUGGGAGCCGGGGGUACCUGAAGUGCGUAACCGCGAGGAGCGCCCUAGGGUAAAACUGGUG